Homo sapiens (human) is the source of this 443-nucleotide long non-coding RNA. The record is from Ensembl. NCBI's taxonomy places the organism in Eukaryota, Metazoa, Chordata, Mammalia, Primates, Hominidae.
AAGGAACUUCCACUUCCAAGCCGUAGCUGGCUGCAUCCUCUUCAUGACUCUUGGGAAAAUAUUUUCUGUGGAGUCUAAAAGAAACAAAAAUACACCUGAAAAGAAAAAAAGGUAAGCAUUCCUUACAAAAGAGAAAAUUUCCCUUCCAUGUUAUGUGUCUACAGACAAAUAUUUUUCUUCACAUGCACUUUUGGAGUAAGGACUAUAUGCGUAGCUAUAGUUUACACCUGUAUAUACUCAGGAAGUAUUUGGAUUAUGAUGGUAUGAUGAUAGUUGUUAAAGAAAGUUCUUUUGCAUGUGAAAAAGAAAGGGAAGACAAGGCAAACAGCAGUCUGUUCAGCAUUAUCCUUUCAAUGAAUUCUACCCUUUUAUACAAUAAAAAGCUGUGGCUGUAUUAUAGGCCCUGGGUUAAAUAAAAGCAAACCACACUCUUUGUUCAAUAA